RNAcentral lists this transfer RNA (76 nucleotides) under Rhodoblastus sphagnicola. RNAcentral's name for it is "tRNA-Lys". It matches the Rfam family "tRNA". From Rfam's summary of the family: Transfer RNA (tRNA) molecules are approximately 80 nucleotides in length. Their secondary structure includes four short double-helical elements and three loops (D, anti-codon, and T loops). Further hydrogen bonds mediate the characteristic L-shaped molecular structure. tRNAs have two regions of fundamental functional importance: the anti-codon, which is responsible for specific mRNA codon recognition, and the 3' end, to which the tRNAs corresponding amino acid is attached (by aminoacyl-tRNA synthetases). tRNAs cope with the degeneracy of the genetic code in two manners: having more than one tRNA (with a specific anti-codon) for a particular amino acid; and 'wobble' base-pairing, i.e. permitting non-standard base-pairing at the 3rd anti-codon position. Lineage: Bacteria; Pseudomonadati; Pseudomonadota; Alphaproteobacteria; Hyphomicrobiales; Rhodoblastaceae. The record is from RNAcentral.
GAGCGCGUAGCUCAGCCGGUAGAGCAUCUGACUUUUAAUCAGAGGGUCUCGGGUUCGAACCCCGACGCGCUCACCA